RNAcentral lists this ribosomal RNA (465 nucleotides) under Vreelandella stevensii. RNAcentral's name for it is "partial 16S ribosomal RNA". It matches the Rfam family "Bacterial small subunit ribosomal RNA", at positions 338 to 795 of the family's 1533-position model. Lineage: Bacteria; Pseudomonadati; Pseudomonadota; Gammaproteobacteria; Oceanospirillales; Halomonadaceae. The record is from RNAcentral.
CCUACGGGCGGCAGCAGUGGGGAAUAUUGGACAAUGGGGGGAACCCUGAUCCAGCCAUGCCGCGUGUGUGAAGAAGGCCCUCGGGUUGUAAAGCACUUUCAGUGAGGAAGAACGCCUGGUGGUUAAUACCCAUCAGGAAAGACAUCACUCACAGAAGAAGCACCGGCUAACUCCGUGCCAGCAGCCGCGGUAAUACGGAGGGUGCGAGCGUUAAUCGGAAUUACUGGGCGUAAAGCGCGCGUAGGUGGCUUGAUAAGCCGGUUGUGAAAGCCCCGGGCUCAACCUGGGAACGGCAUCCGGAACUGUCAAGCUAGAGUGUAGGAGAGGAAGGUAGAAUUCCCGGUGUAGCGGUGAAAUGCGUAGAGAUCGGGAGGAAUACCAGUGGCGAAGGCGGCCUUCUGGACUGACACUGACACUGAGGUGCGAAAGCGUGGGUAGCAAACAGGAUUAGAUACCCUUGUAGUC